CCAAACUUGGUCAUUUAGAGGAAGUAAAAGUCGUAACAAGGUUUCCGUAGGUGAACCUGCGGAAGGAUCAUUAUUGAAACUUCAUCCGGGGCGCCGCGGCCCUCAGCACCGGUGGAAACGCCGUGUAGCGGGGGACGUGCGCGUACUCGUCCAAACCAAACCCCUGUGAACCUUUCGGGAAGGCCUCGGUUUAACCGCCGGGGUCGUCCCGCUUUACAAACGCAUAUAUGAGAAUGAACUUGAAGGCGGUCCGACCGCUGGAUAACAAACUGAAACAACUUUCAACAACGGAUCUCUUGGCUCUCGCAUCGAUGAAGAACGCAGC
Molecule: unclassified non-coding RNA, 325 nt
Filed under: uncultured fungus
Lineage: Eukaryota; Fungi
Description: partial contains small subunit ribosomal RNA, internal transcribed spacer 1, and 5.8S ribosomal RNA
Rfam family: Eukaryotic small subunit ribosomal RNA (bases 1-73)
Source: RNAcentral